GCCUUAUGUAGCUUUUCCUCUGAUUUUCGUUUCCUCGUUCAUCGCGGGCCUUGCUCGUCGACCCAAUGCUUCACAUCUGCGGUCAUAUCCCAAAAGGGUUGCUGAUUGGCAAGGCAAUUUCUUGUGUGAUUCCGAUCAAUUUGGCCGAAUCUGAAAAGACUGUCAAAAUCCCAAUUGUUGGAAGCGUUGAUAUUCCUUCCUCGGAUGUCAAACCGGGUGAUUCGGGUGUUCAAUUGCUAUAGUACUUGGCUUGUUCCAGCGGAGAUUUCUGAUAAACGACGUGCUUCUUCUGUUCAGGUGUAUGCUUUGUUGGUUAGGGAUUAUCACAGAGUUCUAAAUCAUCUCAGAAUUCAGUCUUAAGUUUGUUCAGAAGAAUUUCAGAGCACCAGAUUUUUUAUAAUCAGCGUAGUAGAAGAAGGUGAAUGGAUACCAGAUGCGUGCAUCACAAAGGGUUUCUUGGUGAAGGAUCGGGAUAUCAUUACUUGCAUUCAUGCAUCAACCUGCUAUAUUGUAGCCAAACAUCUAAGGUCAAGAUUUCUUCAUCAACAUUUCAGCUUCGGCUGAACUUUACUUUUUCCGAUGUCUAUUUGAGCAUAAACUCUCGUGGUUUUGUUUUUUAUUUCUCCAAAAAGUUCUUAUAAACCUAUGAUCAACCCUUCUAUUAAGGGACGUGGGACUCCUUCUCCAACAAUCCUUAACCAUUUUCCGUACGAAAUAUGAGAUGCUAUGGGAGUGGAGCAAUAUUGGGAAUCUGCAUAUGCACCUAAUUCAGAACAUUCUACAAGUCGUUCUGUUUCAAGCCAACUUAUCAUCCAUCGACGUUGCAAAUUCGCAGCCAGUUGCUCAUACUGUGGUCGAAGCUACUUUGUUGCCGUAUGCAAACGCAUACUUGAACGGGUUGCAACUGCUCACUGUCCAUGGCUUCACGUUUCCAAAUACCGAUGUAAUCAGCUCCUGCUCGAAAAUUAUGGUGUAGCAGCGACGUUCGUAAAAAAGUUGAAUGGAAAUUUCA
Long non-coding RNA from Cucurbita moschata (crookneck pumpkin), 1012 nucleotides. RefSeq lists it as uncharacterized. The transcript has 2 exons. NCBI's taxonomy places the organism in Eukaryota, Viridiplantae, Streptophyta, Magnoliopsida, Cucurbitales, Cucurbitaceae. The record is from RefSeq and is a predicted model, not a curated record.